UACGGAGGGUGCAAGCGUUAUCCGGAUUCACUGGGUUUAAAGGGUGCGUAGGCGGAUUGAUAAGUCAGUGGUGAAAGCCCCAGGCUCAACUUGGGAAUUGCCAUUGAUACUGUUAAUCUUGAGUGCGGUUGAAGUGGGCGGAAUAUGACAUGUAGCGGUGAAAUGCUUAGAUAUGUCAUAGAACACCGAUUGCGAAGGCAGCUCACUAAGCCGCAACUGACGCUGAGGCUCGAAAGCGUGGGGAGCAAACAGG
Molecule: ribosomal RNA, 253 nt
Filed under: uncultured bacterium
Lineage: Bacteria
Description: partial 16S ribosomal RNA
Rfam family: Bacterial small subunit ribosomal RNA
Source: RNAcentral